GACGAACGCUGGCGGCGUGCUUAACACAUGCAAGUCGAACGGAAAGGCCCUGCUUUUGUGGGGUGCUCGAGUGGCGAACGGGUGAGUAACACGUGAGUAACCUGCCCUUGACUUUGGGAUAACUUCAGGAAACUGGGGCUAAUACCGGAUAGGAGCUCCUGCUGCAUGGUGGGGUUUGGAAAGUUUCGGCGGUUGGGGAUGGACUCGCGGCUUAUCAGCUUGUUGGUGGGGUAGUGGCUUACCAAGGCUUUGACAGGUAGCCGGCCUGAGAGGGUGACCGGCCACAUGGGGACUGAGAGACGGCCCAGACUCCUACGGGAGGCAGCAGUGGGGAAUAUUGCACAAUGGGCGGAAGCCUGAUGCAGCAACGCCGCGUGCGGGAUGACGGCCUUCGGGUGGUAAACCGCUGUCGCCUGUGACGAAGCGUGAGUGACGGUAAUGGGUAAAGAAGCACCGGCUAACUACGUG
RNAcentral lists this ribosomal RNA (468 nucleotides) under uncultured bacterium. RNAcentral describes it as "partial 16S ribosomal RNA". It matches the Rfam family "Bacterial small subunit ribosomal RNA", at positions 28 to 507 of the family's 1533-position model. The record is from RNAcentral.